This is a long non-coding RNA of Pyrus x bretschneideri (Chinese white pear), 693 nucleotides long. RefSeq lists it as uncharacterized. The record is from RefSeq and is a predicted model, not a curated record. The transcript is spliced from 2 exons. NCBI's taxonomy places the organism in Eukaryota, Viridiplantae, Streptophyta, Magnoliopsida, Rosales, Rosaceae.
CAUGUAAAUACCGUAGAAGUUUUCUGGUUAAUUAAUUUCAAUUUGUUUGCUCUUCUUCCAUAUGUUAUCUUCAAUUUGUAUACUCCCCAGUUUAGAAUCUCUUCUCCCCUCUUUGAAAUUUCGUAUGAUCAUAAACCGUGUUGACUUUCCUGUUCUUUCUUUAUAUUCAUUGCAUGAAGUUCAUAAAUAUGAAACCCGAUAAUUCCUUUUGCGUUAAUCGAUGAUGCGUAUCUGGUGGCGAUUUUUGUCCGUCCUCCCUCAUUACACAUAAUCAGUAGCUUAGAGGAGUCUGAAGAGCUUCUGUCAAUGCAGCUUGUUGCAUUUCGGAAUGAAGCUUAUGUACUAGCUAGGUCAGUUUCACCGCCCAUUGACCGGGUCUUGUGCUUUGCCGCAAUUCAAUGAUCGUGUUUGGACGUGGAAGAUUGGCCAUGGAAUGAAGAACGCGGUUGAGCUUGAGAUGUAUAGUCGGAGAUGCAAGUGGGCUAUAAACACCAGAUUUAACACUUGGAACACUGGCUUUCUCCUCGUCACCAUUCGGCUGCAAGUUUGAACAUUUAUGUUCCUAUUAAAACGCAUUGUAUUUGUAGCAUGUAUUUAAGUGUACAAAGUAGGUAUUGAUUACCAACUCUGAUUAAUUACUGGUUUCCAAUAGAAUGAUUAAUAGAAACAUAGAGAGAUUAUUUUUUUAGCAUA